Long non-coding RNA from Gopherus flavomarginatus (Mexican gopher tortoise), 7342 nucleotides. RefSeq lists it as uncharacterized. The record is from RefSeq and is a predicted model, not a curated record. NCBI's taxonomy places the organism in Eukaryota, Metazoa, Chordata, Testudines, Testudinidae. The transcript is spliced from 2 exons.
UGUGUGUGUGCGGUGUGUAUUUAGAUAACAUGCAUAUACAUUUGCAACUCUAUAUGUGCAUAAAAUACCUGCUCAUGCUGGCAGAAGCAAAGUUAAUAUGCCAAGACCACUGAUGCUGUUGUCUAGAAAUGCAUCAUCCUCAGUAGGAUUUUGAGGUUUACUGGCCGUGAAGCACAAUCCUGUAGCAGGUACUCCAAUGUCAAAGGAAAUUUUAGACAAUAUAAUGACUUCAUUUAAUUCCUACGCCUAAAGAACAGGAAUCUAACAAUAUCACAGAGCACAUUCGUCUUCCCUCUCCCACCAGGAUCCGUGUUUUACAAAGGUUUUAAAUCAUUGUUUUCAGUUCCAUAAGCAUUGAUUUAGAAGCAGGUAAAUUGGAAACUUGCAUUGAAUGUAUGGCUCCAGCGGCUGUGAUUGGAGCCCAACCUCAACAAAGAUAGGUUUAGCCCCAUAAUGCUGGACACAGCAACUGAUGUAUUAUAUUAGCUCAGACUUCUGCCCGAUUAAAUAUAUUGACUGGUGCCGUAAAGAUUUUUCAGCACCAAGCUGUGGUCAUAUUUUCCAGUUACUUUGCAUUCCUUUGACUGCACAUCAUUGUUCCAGAUUUUUUUAAACUAGUUUUGCAAUCAAGAAUUUUGUACUAUGUAUGGAAUUUGGAGUUUGGUUUGUAGAUGUUAUGCAGUUCUUAGGUCUAGGUCUUAAUUUUCUCUUUCCACCUGUAGAUUCAGGCUUGGCAGCUCAUCAUCAUCCAUGCUGGAAAUUAGAUGCUUGCUUCAUAAUAGUAAUGUAUGGAACAAUACUAAUAUUAGUCCUUAAGCAUGGGUCAUAAGAUCAGUCAUUACGCUCACUAUAUACCAUUUUAGAUACAGUUUUUUAUUUAGUAUCAGUCUUUACUUUCCUGUUGACAGUUCCUGAAACAGCAAGUGUGGAUGUGAUGAGAAACUGCUUGAUAAAUGUUCAGUGACAAAGGCCUUGUCUACAAAAUAGACUUUUUUCCCCCUGAGAUUUAUCUCUUGCCGCUAUGAGAGGAGAAUAUACCAGUAGUAGCAGCAGCUGGAAAUUGUAGGGGAAAGAACCUGGUGUACAUAACACCUCCUCCUCCUACCUUCUGUCACAGAUAUAAAUCACUGCUUUUGGGAGAGAUGUCUUUCAUCUCUGUAUUUAAAUCCUGGAACUGGUAAUCGAACUCUUGCUUUCAGCAGCAACGUAUUUUACAAACACACAAUUUAACUCCUAGAAGCUGGGGUAGGUGGGACUGCAGAGCACGUCCAUAUCUUAGCGUAGGUUCUCUACUCAUCUCUCUUUGUUUGAGUGUGUUUAGCUAAUUAAUCUGUACAUUGUACAGAUGGGACCUCAGACACCUGUUUUGGUGGCUGUUCUGUUAUCAGGUGGCUCUUGACAUUUUUUUUAUCAAAUCUAAAUUUGCCUUUCUUUAGUUUAAGCCCAAUAUUGCUUUUAAUACAUCCAACUAUAAUCCAUUUACAACUUCUGUAAAGGCUUGCUCCUUUCAUUACAUUAUUAUCUGUGAAAUAUUAAGGAAAGAUAGCCGUGAAAUCAAAGCAAUUGCCUAAUCUCAUGGAAAAUGUGUUUUAAAGUGAGAUUUUCAAAGGGAGAAAUGUAGUUAAGUACCUAACUGCUGUUUGUGCCUUUAAAAAUCUUCCCCUAAAUCACUACUAACUCUUUAAAACGGCCUGUGUGUAAAAAUGCGAAGAUAAGGAUUGAAGCAGGAAGCUGGCAUAUUGUCUGUUAGCUUGAUUAUAUCCUUCAGGGCAGGAAGAACAGCGCUGUAGCCAGAGACACAUGGAACUCCUGGAGUUUUUUAAGUAGGUUCUUUUAUCUCUUGUUUUGUUUUUCUGUUUACAGCCAUCUAAUUCUUUCGUUUCUUGCGAAAUCUAGCUGUACAGUGAUAGCAGGAGAGUAUCUACAAGGAGCUAUAGGCCUCCUUUUUUGGGUAGACCACAUCAAGCUGCAUUUCCUGUUGCAAGUAUCACUAAAAUGGCAGGCCGUCAGUGUUUAUACAGCUGUCCAAUUCAUAACGGGACAAUCUGAAGUAAUUUCAGGUAUUUUGAAAUACUGUUUUGAAAUUUCCAUGCUUAAUUUACAUAUUCUAAUUUAAAAAGCAACAAAGAGUCCUGUAGCACCUAGACUAACAGACAUAUUGGAGCAUAAGCUUUUGUGAAUACCCACUUCCUGCGUCUGACGCAUGUAUUCACCCACGAAAGCUUAUGCUCCAAUAUGUCCGUUAGCCUAUAAGGUGCCACAGGACUCUUUGUUGCUUUUUACAGACCCAGACUAACACGGCUACCCCUCUGAUACUUAAUUUAAAAAGCUAUUCUAUAGCCAAGUAAGGCUGCAGGUCUCCUUUUAAGGUAAGUUGGCAACUAUCUCCUGUCCAAAAAGAAACUACCAGUUUCUUAGCGGUUCAAUAUGCACUUUAAAAAAACAUCAGUACCUAACAUUCACAGUCAUCAGUUUUUACAAGGCUCAAAACUAAAUGUGCUUGGGAGAAUAAAAUAAAUGCUGAAGCUCAAUCAAAGUGAAGCAUGACAAAUGUAGUACAGAGCAGGAAUGUCUGAGUGACAAAAUAAGCCAGUUUUCAAAAUAAUCUGUUUGCUUUUAGAAGAAAUGAUCAUACUGUGAUUGCAGAUCUAACCUGUGGAUGCUGCAGUCCAAGAAAGAAUCUGAGUACAGAAAACUGUAUUGAACAUAAUUAUGCCCCAAAAUGAAGAGAUACAGUGUGCCUUUAUUUCUUUCCCUAGAGAGAUUCUGCAUCUGCCUUUUUCAAGGCUGCAUGUAGAUGAAUAACCAGGUCCUUUGGGGAAGACUAGCACCUCAUAAAAUAUUUCUACUUCCGUUUCCCGGCUUAAAUGGUGUAUCAUGCGUGACUACAGCUCUACUCCUAAGGUCACAAAUGAUGACAUACUAAGAAGUAUAACACUUUCAGUCAGUAUUUUUCACCACUAAAAAGGAUUCUGUCAGCUUGAAAUCUAGUCACCAUAAAAAUUGAGUUAAAUAGUUUUGACAGUACCUGUGUUUUGUUCUGGUUUUACAGUCAGUUUCCUAUUUUUUAAAGUUUUUUCUCUCUUCCUUCCCUGUUGCUGUAGGAAAGUUGUGCACAAGCAUCAGGGGAAAUGCACUAUGCACACAAUGCUAUGAAAAGCACUAAGUAAAUGCACUGAAAAAACAGAAUUUUUCUCUAAUCAUUGUUAUAGCUGACUAAAGAAGGUAAAAUAUUCAGCCAGAAGUGUGAUUUUUAAUGUUAUGACAACCCUUUUAAAUUUAAGGGUGCAUUUUCUCUUCCACUGGUGCUAUUUGCUGGUAAUAUUUUUAUGCUGCAUCACAGAAAGAUGUUUAAGUCCUAUGAUAUCAUCAGGAUCCAGUUGUCUCUGUUCUUGCCAAGGAAAAGAAUGGGCUUCAUAGCAGUAAACUGAAUCCCAGAAAACGGGAGUUAAAGCUCUGUUAAACUUUUGGAGCACAAUGCUUCUAGCAGGUCCCACUCUUUAUUUUUAAAUUGUGUGAAUGCAAUUCUCCUGAAAGGCACCAGAUUGAUAGCCCUGCAGUGUACUGUUUAGCCACAAACUGGGCACAGCAAUACAAGCUUUCCCUGAAGGGAACACCUCUAGGGCUAAUAUAGCUGGCAAUCUGCUUUGAGAAAUGAAGGCUUGAAUGGACAGAGAGGGGCAAGUUGCCAGUUAGUGCUAUCCGUGGUGGCUUUUUGUGCUUUGGAUGUGGGAACUGGAUUGAAAUCACUAAAAUCAAUUUAUGUAAUUCACAAAACAGCCAUCAGAGAGUAAUUUUUAGUCACAACCAACCUGGACUGAAUUCAAACCAGAGACCUAACGUCUCUUUGAAAACACUAAACAUUAAUUUAGAUCAAAGUCUAAAAACCUGGGUAUUGAACCCUCCGCAUGCAAAGCACGUUCCCCUGUGCCCCCGCCCCAGAUCCAUUUUAUACUGAUUGUGGUGUUCACAUCAGAUAAGAAAUAUUUAUUUGUCCUAUCCUCCUCUUCGUCUCCCCCCCCUGCCCCAAAUGACCGUGAGUACUAUAAACACUUUCCCCAGUGAACGUCACCACAUGCACAAAGAAUGCUGUGGGUGGAUUUUACUGUAAUAUGAAUCAUUCCAUCAAACUACCUGUCUCCUAUGAAUAACAGUCCAAAAUAUCCCACUGACAAUUAUCCCCUUUACAUUCCAGACACCCUGCUCUGACAAGCAGGGAAGGCAUCACGUUGAUGUCUGCAUAGGGUGUCUUGUGACAAGGCCUCUCCUUGGCCAGUGAAUUGCUCUCCAAGGAAUUAGUGUUUAUAAGCAUCUCUGCACUGCAGUUUGUUUUGUAAAUUUGGACUCUUGCUGAAUCAGUGUAAGAUGUUUUUGGAGUAGAAUAAGUUUUUGUAUUCCUUUAAACAGGAAGCAGUACUGUACAUUUUUAAUAGAGUGUACUUGUUGCAUGUAUGUGUACCAUAAUCAGUAAGGACUAGGAAGCUUUCUAUUAGCAUGAUAGUGUGAUGAAUGUUUACUUCCCAGAAAUGGCCAGAGCUGUGGUUCAGCGGAAUCUACAGUGUAAUGUAAGUGUAGGAGGUGUGAACUCUGGCACAGGCUGAAAGCACAAUUUUGUACCAGUUACAGGACUAGCUGCAUAAAGUCUGUAACACAUGAAUGUAACAUGUCAGGAAAUACUUCCUUUGUAUCUAACAAUGGGGGAGUUGAGAUUUUAAAGAUGCAUUCAGGGAACAACUGCCUUCAGUACAGUUGUUAAGCCAGCACCGCAGACUUACCAUUCGUAUGGCUGACUGUUUCACAGAAGUGUGAGGAGACCUGAGCAUUAAUAAUUGUAAGCAGGUUAACAAAACAUUGCUGGACCCUUGCCUGUUAGGCCUGAGUCAACUCAAAAUUACACAUGCUCUUUUUGUGUCUGUGGUACAAUGUUUUGAAACUGAUCUACUUGAAAAAUGUCUUGUUCUUAUUGGUAUUUUUCAGUUGUCAGCAGGUGUUCUGCUGCAGAGCAUUUCAAACUGAGAUUUUUUUUCCGCAAACCAUCAAUUAAAGUAUUUGCAUGGCAGAGUUGGUUUUUCAUUAAAACUAAUGUUCUGUCAGCAGCUUGGAGGGUGGCAACCAAUCCAGACAUGGGGCAUUAGAUACGUACUUUUCCUGAUCAUUUCCUCUUUUUAUUUCAUGUUGUUUCACUUUUUUGAUAAUUAACAGUCCACCACGAUGCUAUCAGCUUGUUCAUUUUAGUUUUUACAGGCAUUAUUUCAUUUUGUUAAAGAAGAAUACAAAGUGAGAAGAUUUUUUUUUCUGAUCACAUGCAAAUUAUUUACAAUUGAUUGUUUUUCAGCCAGAUGCAUUUUUUCCUUUAGUUACUAAAGCAGUGAGUGGAUGGAAUGGGCUCGCUCUCAAAAAAUGUUGUGCAAUGUAAUUUCUUGGUUUGAUGUCAAUUUGUCGAUGGAUAUCUUUGCAUCUUCCUUGUCAUUCUGAUUUGUUUUAUUGUUCAGUGCAGCAAGAUCCAAUUUUCUAUAUUUUCUUUUGAGUGCUUAAAUUUUUUUUAAAAUCCUAUUUUACUGUUUUCUGGCUGCAAUUUGGAAAUGUACACGUUGAAAUUUUUAAAAAUGGUAUUAAGUUUUACAUUUAUGUUUCAAGUAAGACCAAAAAUCUUUAAUGCCUGCAAAGAUGCUGUUUAAAGUAUUCAUUCUAUAUCAGGAUUUGAGGUUUGCAGCAGCAUCUGCAGUAAAGCUGGUAUUAGAAAAAUGCAUGAUUAUGUUAAAAUACACAAAAUGGACAAAAAGGUCAUUCUUGCUCUUUUAUUCCAGUUGUGCUUAGGAGGAGGCAUUCUUUUUGCACUGGGUGCUAAUAUCAAACAGCCCAUGUAAUGCAAAGGUGAUUUUUCUAAACAGAACUUCUUUGCUACUUGUAACUAACUUUGCAUUUAUUGUGACCAAAUCUUGUACCAAACCUGAACAGACAGAGGUGUCUUUCCCCCACUCACAAAGCUGCGGAGCCUUUGCACUGUAGUAUCUAUUACAGAUUAUGUGCUUUCCUUCCAUGCAGGUGUGUAUCUCUGUGUUUUUUCUCUCUUCCGUGGGCACUGGUGCUCAGUGAGCCCUAAAGCUGUUUUGUGGUGCAUCUAUAAAUGGUGCAAAGUUAUGACACAGGCAUCUGAUAUCCCAACUGUGCAACAAACCAUCCUGGUUCUGGUGCAGACAGGGCCUUCCUACAUGGGUGAAAGAGACGAAGCGCUUGUCUACACAUGAAAGUUUUAUUCUAGAAUAAGGUAGAGUGUGAAUUUCAAGUGCAAUGGCUAUUCCAGAAUAACUUGUGUGUAGACAAGCGCCAAAUACCAUAAAAAUAUAAAUUGCUUCAUUUAAGCAGGGAGCUUCUAUUUUAACUUCUGCCAGUUCUUUUGUAAGGUUUUUAGUGUGUCCUCAUUUAGGGACUGACUUGAGCCAUCAUUUAGUCAAAUGAGAUCCCCGUUCACUAAGUUUAAAAUGGGAGCAUUUCAAAAAUAACAUGUUUUAAAAAUUCUUUCUUACCCGUGAGAUGUAAACACCCUACAUGUUAGAGUUCACUUUUCAUUAGUUAUUCUGUUUAAUAUUUUACUCCAAAAUCAAUAUUGACUGGUCAGCUUCACUCUUUGCUGCAUGGGUUUUGUUUGCUCGGGAAGGUGUGAAUUAAACUCAACAUUUGCUCGGAAUUACGCAUAACUAGUUUGGUAAAGAUUUGUUUGGGGAGAACAACAAUAUCCAUAAGUUUGGGGUAAAAACUACUGUCACUUGUCCCCUUCAAUAUUAACAACCAGGGCAGAGAACUUUUCCUUCGCCCUAAGGUAAACUAGCAUAGUGAGCCAUAUCAUGUCAGCAACUUUCAACAGGACUUCCAUUUGAUUUAAAUUAGUUCUGCUUUAUGUUCAUACUAAUAAGUGUUUUCUUUGCUUUUUUGAAAUGCAUCUGGGAGAUUCAGUGAUUAGUGGAGUGUUCAGUUAAGACACUCUCACACUUUCUUAUGCUAAGAGGGGGGCCAAAUGUUUUCCAUAAAGGUAUGAAAAGUCUGACAGCAUUGGGAAUGUGUUUGCCCAGUUUCAAGAGUUUUUAUUAGCCAUGCUGGCAUUGGUUUUUAGUGUCAAAUGGAUUUUUACAAAAUCUUUCUGUACAAACCACCAUUUUUAUUGGCCAACAAACAUUCUCUAUAUUUGAUGUGUAAGUAAGUUUCAGUAGCACUUUCAAGGAGUUUUUAUGGUUUGAAUACUGUAUAUUAUGCAUUGUUUUCUACUAUUUGUUUUUUUACUAGAGAAUCGCAUGGUUUAUACUGUACAGCAGUAAAGAACUGCAUUAAAAUUGUUUUAUCAUUA